RNAcentral lists this ribosomal RNA (306 nucleotides) under Triticum aestivum (bread wheat). Its description in RNAcentral is "partial small subunit ribosomal RNA". Lineage: Eukaryota; Viridiplantae; Streptophyta; Magnoliopsida; Poales; Poaceae. The record is from RNAcentral.
AUGAAUCUAGCACGUACAACAGGGUGUAGCAAAAUCGAGAUCAACUCAGAUAGUUUGGAAGUGGUAGAAGCUCUAAAGGAGGGCUACUCUUCAUCAGUUGCUAGUGCCAUUUUCGAUGAUUGUUAUUUCAUGUCCUUAGAUUUCAAUCAUGUCAUUUAUGCUCAUUGUAAUAGAGAGAGUAAUGUGGUAGCUCAUGAGUUUGCUAGGUUGGCUAAAUUUUCUACUACUGAUUGUUGGUUGGAUACUGCCCCUAGUGCGGUUAUCCCGUUGCUUGUAAACGAUGCUACUGUUUUGAUGCUUGAAUAA